RNAcentral lists this non-coding RNA (215 nucleotides) under Planococcus sp. (in: firmicutes). RNAcentral's name for it is "Planococcus sp. T-box sequence". It matches the Rfam family "T-box leader". Rfam says of the family: Uncharged tRNA acts as the effector for transcription antitermination of genes in the T-box leader family. The record is from RNAcentral. Lineage: Bacteria; Bacillati; Bacillota; Bacilli; Caryophanales; Caryophanaceae.
AAAAACGCGCUGAUAGAGACAGUAGUUUAUGCAGAACGCUAAAGCGAAUCAGGGAUAGUGAAAGCCUGAUGCGGUCACAUUGACGAACAUCACUCUUGAGCAGAAUUGGUGAAUACUAGUAACCAAUUCCGUCUACGCCACGUUACGGCGAUCGAGUGGCAGCUAUCUAGCUGCAACAAGGGUGGUACCGCGAGUUUAAGCUUCUCGUCCCUUUA